RNAcentral lists this unclassified non-coding RNA (1017 nucleotides) under Hevea brasiliensis (rubber tree). Lineage: Eukaryota; Viridiplantae; Streptophyta; Magnoliopsida; Malpighiales; Euphorbiaceae. The record is from RNAcentral.
AAAAAAAAAAAAAAAAGACAUUUGAUAAAGAUCAGUUCUAUUUAUCAAUACAUUUACAUGAUUAAACUUAUCAACAUUCAGGCAAUUCUUUGGAACAGAGAAUAAAUAUAUGAAAAGUAUCUGUAUAUUCUUUACAUACAAUCUCUUGACUUCAAAUAUUUAUAGUCAGUUCUGCUUUUGUUAAAGACUUAAAACAUUUUACUUUGAAGGUCCUCUCCACCUAAUAGCCUAUUCUUUUUGGUAUAGCACACAUUCUAACAAGUUUGAAACGAGUUGUCAUUUACCCAAAAAAAUAAAAUAAAUAAAUAAUUUCAAGGAAAUAAUUAUAACCACACCAGACAAUGACACCUUGAUGAUAAAGAAAACAUUGUUUAUCCAGCCAUUGAUUUUUUUGAACCCAUUAAUGUAAAGAUCUCAUUCAUCAUGUGCACUAUAGCCACAAAUUGUUGUGUAAUAGUAAUAUUAUGUGAUUUACGUUUACCUCAAAGUGGAAAUACAAACUAAAGAGUACUUCCAAAUUUGUCUGAAGACACUCCCCUAAAUGUAUUGAAGUAUAAAUGAUAUAACUGAUACAACUCCAACACAAAAUUCACAAAGACCCAUUCCAAGUUGCCAACUCUGAACUGAAAGCAACACCAGUGCGUGCCAAAGCAAUUUGUAUCAAUUCCGUUUUCUAAUUUGAGCCAUUUUUGUGCCCAGCUGAAAAUUUGUAAUUUGGAAACAACCAAAUUUUGGGGUUUUCUGUAGGAACCCAAUUUUCUCUUUUAAGAACUAACUAAAAAACAAAUAUGUCGUAAUAAUAUAAUUAUAUUUGACAAUUAGAAAACAAAAACCAAAUAACUAAAAACAAAUCCAUACCAAACAGGGUCCAAAACAAUUUUAAAAAAUCAUGAAAAGGAAAACGAAUUCCCAUCCCGUGCAAAGCUCAAGACUAGAGUAUAUGUUAUGAGUCCGGUAUUGCUGUUUGAGUUGCUCUUAAGAAAAGUAUCGUCUAUUAAAAUUUAAUUUUAAAUUAAA